CACGUAGUUAGCCGUGGCUUUCUGAUUAGGUACCGUCAAGAUGUGCGCAGUUACUUACACAUUUGUUCUUCCCUAAUAACAGAGUUUUACGAGCCGAAACCCUUCAUCACUCACGCGGCGUUGCUCCGUCAGGCUUUCGCCCAUUGCGGAAGAUUCCCUACUGCUGCCUCCCGUAGGAGUCUGGACCGUGUCUCAGUUCCAGUGUGGCCGAUCACCCUCUCAGGUCGGCUACGUAUCGUCGCCUUGGUAAGCCGUUACCUUACCAACUAGCUAAUACGGCGCGGGUCCAUCUAUAAGUGAUAGCAAAACCAUCUUUCACUUUAGAACCAUGCGGUUCUAAAUGUUAUCCGGUAUUAGCUCCGGUUUCCCGAAGUUAUCCCAGUCUUAUAGGUAGGUUACCCACGUGUUACUCACCCGUCCGCCGCUAACUUCAAAGGAGCAAGCUCCUUAUCUGUUCGCUCGACUUGCAUGUAUUAGGCACGCCGCCAGCGUUCAUCCUGAGCCAGGAUCAAACUCU
This 517-nucleotide ribosomal RNA is filed under the name uncultured Staphylococcus sp. RNAcentral describes it as "partial 16S ribosomal RNA". Lineage: Bacteria; Bacillati; Bacillota; Bacilli; Caryophanales; Staphylococcaceae. The record is from RNAcentral.